UGCUUUUUCAUGCUUUUUUCAGAAGCUCGCC
RNAcentral lists this non-coding RNA (31 nucleotides) under Homo sapiens (human). The record is from RNAcentral. Lineage: Eukaryota; Metazoa; Chordata; Mammalia; Primates; Hominidae.